GACAGUUCUGAGGUGAAUUAAAAACUGACGUUGUUUUCGUUGCGCUCGGACAAACAACUAAAGAACUAUCAGUUAUACCCCCUUCUACCCCCUCACAGAGCAAAAAAAAGAGGAUGAACUGAGGCCAUUUCUGCUAUCAACGAGCGAUUACGGUGUCCAACAUGUAGAGGAGGAUGACAUGAUUUAACCAUGGACUUCUGAGUUAACUAAGAAAAGGCUUAGAAGUCAGAACUAAGUCAAAAGUGAUGUCCGUUAAACACGACUUAUCCCAGUCCUUGACCGCCACACUCCGCUGAUAACAGGCCGCCGUUGCCAUGACAACGCUCCAUCGUCACAGCGUCUAGACUGCCGAUGACACCUGACACCGCAUCCAAUUGAGACGAGGUCACGGUGAAGUGACUUUGAGCCUUGACUAACUGGGCCUCUUUGAGAGCAGCCCUCACAUUCCUGCUAACUCCGACGGGCCAUGCAGCGCUUAAUACCAGCACCGGGGAGGAAGUUUCUGCCGGCAGGGAUUAUGCGCAGUUUCCUCAGCCCUGGAGCUUCGGCCUUGUCCCCUCCCACUGCCGAAAAAGCAGCGAUUCCACAAAAUGAGCAGGAGGGGGAUAGCGGAGCGCCGCAAACUUAAACCUGCUCUUCUCUCCACCAGGCAGUGCCCGAAGGUUUUUCACUCGCCUGCUUUAUAUACUUAUUUAUUUAUUUACUCUCAAGCUCCGCUCGAGAUUGCAUCAUAUUAUAUUUUCAGUAGGAAAGGACUAACGUUUCGGCCGUGAUCGCAGCACCAUGGUACAGAAGUGCAUUGUAUUGGGACCCGAGUAAGGAAGGAGGGAGCGUGAGAGGAGGAGGAGGAGGAGGGUGCUGGAGAAGCACACAGCUGCACGGCACACUGAAGCCGGCUUCCCAACCCUGACAGCAAGGGAGUGAGUGAACAAGGGGCCUCGCUACAGCAGCUCUGUACAGGAGAGAGAUUUCCUUUCUUUCUUUCUCCGUUUUUUUGUUUGUUUUUGUUUAGUUUUUUUUCCCAAACGCUCCAAAAUACAGAACGGAUCAGAAAAGGAAAGAGGAUUUUUUUUUCUCUCUUCUCCAUGGUUGGCUACUCUUAUCCACUACAUACAAUGAGCAUCAGCAUAGGAUACGUGUCCGGAGUUGUGCUACGUCAGGAGUAGAAAUUUAAGAAGUCACCUUGUUCAGCAUUCAGGUUUGGUCCAGCUUUUAAGUACCGCACUGCUGAAAAAUAUGCAGUCUCUCCCAAUGCAAAGGGCCAGUUUCUUCCCACAAAUCAUUCAGAGCAACGUAAAGGAUUUUCCACUGCAGCCAUGCAUAAGUCAUGUAGCCCUACCCCUUUCACCUGCAGCAGUGUGUGUGUGUGUGUGUGUGUGUGUGUGUGUGUGUGUGUGUGUGUGUGUGUGUGUGUGUGUGUGUGUGUGUGUGUGUGUGUGUGUGUGUGUGAAAAGC
Tachysurus fulvidraco (yellow catfish) is the source of this 1455-nucleotide long non-coding RNA. RefSeq lists it as uncharacterized. The transcript is spliced from 7 exons. NCBI's taxonomy places the organism in Eukaryota, Metazoa, Chordata, Actinopteri, Siluriformes, Bagridae. The record is from RefSeq and is a predicted model, not a curated record.